Molecule: ribosomal RNA, 495 nt
Filed under: uncultured bacterium
Lineage: Bacteria
Description: partial 16S ribosomal RNA
Rfam family: Bacterial small subunit ribosomal RNA
Source: RNAcentral
GACGAACGCUGGCGGCGUGCCUAAUACAUGCAAGUAGAACGCUGAAGGAGGAGCUUGCUUCUCUGGAUGAGUUGCGAACGGGUGAGUAACGCGUAGGUAACCUGCCUGGUAGCGGGGGAUAACUAUUGGAAACGAUAGCUAAUACCGCAUAAGAGUAGAUGUUGCAUGACAUUUGCUUAAAAGGUGCAAUUGCAUCACUACCAGAUGGACCUGCGUUGUAUUAGCUAGUUGGUGAGGUAACGGCUCACCAAGGCGACGAUACAUAGCCGACCUGAGAGGGGGGUCGGCCACACUGGGACUGAGACACGGCCCAGACUCCUACGGGAGGCAGCAGUAGGGAAUCUUCGGCAAUGGACGGAAGUCUGACCGAGCAACGCCGCGUGAGUGAAGAAGGUUUUCGGAUCGUAAAGCUCUGUUGUAAGAGAAGAACGAGUGUGAGAGUGGAAAGUUCACACUGUGACGGUAUCUUACCAGAAAGGGACGGCUAACUACGUG